RNAcentral lists this ribosomal RNA (253 nucleotides) under uncultured bacterium. Its description in RNAcentral is "partial 16S ribosomal RNA". It matches the Rfam family "Bacterial small subunit ribosomal RNA", at positions 524 to 776 of the family's 1533-position model. The record is from RNAcentral.
UACGUAUGGGGCAAGCGUUAUCCGGAUUUACUGGGUGUAAAGGGAGCGUAGGCGGCCUGGCAAGCCUGAUGUGAAAUACCGGGGCCCAACCCCGGGACUGCAUUGGGAACUGCCCUGCUGGAGUGCCGGAGGGGCAGGCGGAAUUCCUAGUGUAGCGGUGAAAUGCGUAGAUAUUAGGAGGAACACCAGUGGCGAAGGCGGCCUGCUGGACGGUGACUGACGCUGAGGCUCGAAAGCGUGGGGAGCAAACAGG